This is a non-coding RNA of Cricetulus griseus (Chinese hamster), 1651 nucleotides long. NCBI's taxonomy places the organism in Eukaryota, Metazoa, Chordata, Mammalia, Rodentia, Cricetidae. The record is from RefSeq and is a predicted model, not a curated record.
CUCAGUUCUUUCUUUCAGUCGCUUCUCUUUCGCUUUCACUUUCACUUCGUCUGCCUUUGUCACCUGAAGCCAUUAGCAGCAGCGGCCGGAGGAACCGCCUCACUGGUCUUCUGUUCGCCCUGCACCCGAGAAACCCCCAGAACAAGAUUCCACACAGGAUGAAGACAAGAAACAUGCCGGAGAAGGUCACAAAGAUUCGGAUACAGUCGGAACUGCACAGGGGUCUUGGGGCUGUGAUAGGCAAGGGGGCCCAGAGGCUUUGCAGGAGGGUCUAACCUUGGACUUCCUCAGUCCAGUUGGUCCUAUCCCCCCCAUCAUCAUCUUUCCUCUGCUGGAUUAGGAGUCCCCAUCUCCUAAUCUCUAACUAACUAGAUGUGCUUUCCCCUCCUUUGCCUCCUGCUCUGUCUGUCUGUCUGUCUGUCUGUCAGUCCACCUCUGUCUCUCUUUCUCCUUCGUGUGUAGUGAGUGCUUGUGUGUGCAUCCAGAGUCCAGCGCGCUCCCUUGAGACAGGGUUCCUCUCUGAACUUGAAACGACUGUUUUAGCUAAGGUGGCUCUGUCUCUGCCUCCGAAUGCUAGGGUUACAGAUACAUGACUCCAGUCCUUGUCUCAUGCUUUCACAGCCAGCAUCCUUGUCCGCUGAACAUUCUCCUCAGCUCUAUACCCCUAUCCCUCACCCCAUGCUUAGGGGUUUCCCAGUGCCUGCCCCCUUGGCCUCUUGCCUCUGCACUUUUCCCUGAGGGAUGGGGAUUAUGGAGACAACUUACAUGGCCAGCGGUUAUAGAGAGUUGAGGCAGGAAACUGCCUGGUGUGUCCAGGCCAGACCGUCCUGGCCUCUGCCAUCUCUGGAAGAAACAGAGUGAAUCACAGCAGGAACCCCUCACCCCACCCCCAGGUCGCACCUGGCUGAAAACCUGUGAUUCUGCAGGAGUGAGACAGAAGGAAGAUGAGUUAGCUCAGAACCUAACUCGGGUACCCGAGACCAUGCCAUGAUGUCACCCACAGUUAGGAUUGGUCUUCCUGCCCCAGGUACCCAGUCUGGAAACCCAUUAAGGAGCAUACUUAAAGGUCCUAAAACCUUAUUGGGUACUCAACUUAGAAGUAUCUUCUUCUGGGACUGGAGAAACGGCUUAGCACAAACCUCAGUCCCUGGAGCCCAUGUGAAGACGUCUGAUUUCUGCGCACAUCUGAAACCCCAGCACUCCCGUGCGUGAGACGGCAGGAGAGACAAGAAUUGCCUGGAUGCUCACAGCCAGCUGCCCGGAGCACACAGAGUAGCAGAAACAAUGAGAGAUCCGACUGUGCAAGGCAAAAAGAGAGAACUGACUCUCAAAAGUUGUUCUUUGGGGGCUGGAGGGAGGGACGACUCAGCAGUUAGUGUUUGCCACUCUUGCAGAGGGCCUUGGUUCAGUUCUCAGCAACCACAAGGGGUGGCUCACAACCACCUAUGACUCCAAUUCCAAGGAAUCUGAUGCCCUCUUCCGGUCUCUGCGGGGCAUGCAUGUGGGGCACAUACAAACAAGUAGGCACACACUGAUACACGCAAAUAAAAGUAAAACUUAAAGCUAGGCUGGGCGGUGGUGGCGCACGCCUUUAGUCCCAGCACUCGGGAGGCAGAGGCAGGCGGAUCUAUGUGAGUUCGAGACCAGCCUG